GAUGAACGCUGGCGGCGUGCCUAAUACAUGCAAGUCGAGCGAACGGACGAGAAGCUUGCUUCUCUGAUGUUAGCGGCGGACGGGUGAGUAACACGUGGAUAACCUACCUAUAAGACUGGGAUAACUUCGGGAAACCGUAGCUAAUACCGGAUAAUAUUUUGAACCGCAUGGUUCAAAAGUGAAAGACGGUCUUGCUGUCACUUAUAGAUGGAUCCGCGCUGCAUUAGCUAGUUGGUAAGGUAACGGCUUACCAAGGCAACGAUGCAUAGCCGACCUGAGAGGGUGAUCGGCCACACUGGAACUGAGACACGGUCCAGACUCCUACGGGAGGCAGCGGUAGGGAAUCUUCAGCAAUGGGCGAAAGCCUGACGGAGCAACGCCGCGUGAGUGAUGAAGGUCUUCGGAUCGUAAAACUCUGUUAUUAGGGAAGAACAUAUGUGUAAGUAACUGUGCACAUCUUGACGGUACCUAAUCAGAAAGCCACGGCUAACUACGUG
Molecule: ribosomal RNA, 497 nt
Filed under: uncultured bacterium
Lineage: Bacteria
Description: partial 16S ribosomal RNA
Rfam family: Bacterial small subunit ribosomal RNA
Source: RNAcentral